Rhipicephalus sanguineus (brown dog tick) is the source of this 273-nucleotide long non-coding RNA. RefSeq lists it as uncharacterized. The transcript has 3 exons. NCBI's taxonomy places the organism in Eukaryota, Metazoa, Arthropoda, Arachnida, Ixodida, Ixodidae. The record is from RefSeq and is a predicted model, not a curated record.
AGAUGCACUGACUUAUGCAAAGGUAAAAGCGCACAUGUCGCAUCCGCUUUACAAGAGAAGCCCUAUCGGGCCUUGGCUACCAUACGGCUCGGAGCAGUUGUUCAGGCAGCUAUAGCAUGGCCGCCUGUGUUCUUGCCUUUCUAACGUUGCUCACACAAAGUGCUGCAGCCGAAUAUGCAUCAGAGUGCGCAAACUUCAGCUUCCCCAACUUUUUAGACCUUGGAAGUUGCAUGAACUCAUCUGGGGAUUUGUGUACGGCUGACUCGGUAAGAA